AUUGAACGCUGGCGGCAGGCCUAACACAUGCAAGUCGAGCGGAGCGGCGGACGGGUGAGUAAUGCCUAGGAAUCUGCCUGGUAGUGGGGGAUAACGUCCGGAAACGGGCGCUAAUACCGCAUACUAUCAGAUGAGCCUAGGUCGGAUUAGCUAGUUGGUGGGGUAAAGGCCUACCAAGGCGACGAUCCGUAACUGGUCUGAGAGGAUGAUCAGGCACAUUGGGACUGGGGCACGGCCCAGACUCCUAAGGGAGGCAGCAGUGGGGAAACUUCCGAAAUGGAGGAAAGGCUGGAGGAGCAACGCCGCGGGAGUGAUGACGGCCUUCGGGUUGGAAAGCUCUGUUAAUCGGGACGCGGUACCGGAAUAGAAAGCCACGGCUAACUACGUGCCAGCAGCCGCGGUAAUAC
This 407-nucleotide ribosomal RNA is filed under the name uncultured bacterium. RNAcentral describes it as "partial 16S ribosomal RNA". It matches the Rfam family "Bacterial small subunit ribosomal RNA", at positions 29 to 526 of the family's 1533-position model. The record is from RNAcentral.